This 750-nucleotide ribosomal RNA is filed under the name cyanobacterium enrichment culture clone 2_RT_2.1.1_G12-T7. RNAcentral describes it as "bacterial SSU rRNA". It matches the Rfam family "Bacterial small subunit ribosomal RNA", at positions 62 to 852 of the family's 1533-position model. Lineage: Bacteria; Bacillati; Cyanobacteriota. The record is from RNAcentral.
UCGAACGGGAUCCUUCGGGAUUUAGUGGCGGACGGGUGAGUAACGCGUGAGAAUCUGCCCUUAGGUUGGGGACAACAGUUGGAAACGACUGCUAAUACCCAAUGUGCCGAGAGGUGAAAUGUUUUUUCGCCUGAGGAUGAGCUCGCGUCAGAUUAGCUAGUUGGUGGGGUAACGGCCUACCAAGGCGACGAUCUGUAGCUGGUCUGAGAGGAUGAUCAGCCACACUGGGACUGAGACACGGCCCAGACUCCUACGGGAGGCAGCAGUGGGGAAUUUUCCGCAAUGGGCGAAAGCCUGACGGAGCAAGACCGCGUGAGGGAGGAAGGCCUAUUGGUUGUAAACCUCUUUUGAUAGGGAAGAACACAAUGACGGUACCUAUCGAAUCAGCAUCGGCUAACUCCGUGCCAGCAGCUGCGGUAAUACGGAGGAUGCAAGCGUUAUCCGGAUUUAUUGGGCGUAAAGCGUCCGUAGGUGGCAAACCAAGUCAGUUGUUAAAGCGUAGAGCUUAACUCUAUAAGGGCAAUUGAAACUGGUUAGCUAGAGUGCGAUAGGGGCAAGGGGAAUUCCCAGUGUAGCGGUGAAAUGCGUAGAUAUUGGGAAGAACAUCGGUGGCGAAGGCGCCUUGCUGGGUCUGCACUGACACUGAGGGACGAAAGCUAGGGGAGCGAAAGGGAUUAGAUACCCCUGUAGUCCUAGCCGUAAACGAUGGAUACUANGCGUUGUCCGUAUCGACCCGAGCCGUGCCGAAGC